GACGAACGCUGGCGGCGUGCUUAACACAUGCCAGUCGUACGGUAAGGCCCUUUCGGGGGUACACGAGUGGCGAACGGGUGAGUAACACGUGAGUAACCUGCCCACAACUUUGGGAUAACGCUAGGAAACUGGUGCUAAUACUGGAUAUGUGCUCCUGCUGCAUGGUGGGGGUUGGAAAGCUCCGGCGGUUGUGGAUGGACUCGCGGCCUAUCAGCUUGUUGGUGGGGUAGUGGCCUACCAAGGCGGCGACGGGUAGCCGGCCUGAGAGGGUGACCGGCCACAUUGGGACUGAGAUACGGCCCAGACUCCUACGGGAGGCAGCAGUGGGGAAUAUUGCACAAUGGGCGCAAGCCUGAUGCAGCAACGCCGCGUGCGGGAUGAUGGCCUUCGGGUUGUAAACCGCUUUCAGCAGGGACGAAGCUUUUUGUGACGGUACCUGCAGAAGAAGCACCGGCUAACUACGUG
RNAcentral lists this ribosomal RNA (465 nucleotides) under uncultured bacterium. RNAcentral's name for it is "partial 16S ribosomal RNA". It matches the Rfam family "Bacterial small subunit ribosomal RNA", at positions 28 to 507 of the family's 1533-position model. The record is from RNAcentral.